GACGAACGCUGGCGGCGUGCCUAAUACAUGCAAGUCGAGCGGACUUAAAAAGCUUGCUUUUUAAGUUAGCGGCGGACGGGUGAGUAACACGUGGGCAACCUGCCUGUAAGACUGGGAUAACUUCGGGAAACCGGAGCUAAUACCGGAUAAUCCUUUUCUACUCACGUAGAAAAGCUGAAAGACGGUUUACGCUGUCACUUACAGAUGGGCCCGCGGCGCAUUAGCUAGUUGGUGAGGUAACGGCUCACCAAGGCGACGAUGCGUAGCCGACCUGAGAGGGUGAUCGGCCACACUGGGACUGAGACACGGCCCAGACUCCUACGGGAGGCAGCAGUAGGGAAUCUUCCGCAGUGGACGAAAGUCUGACGGAGCAACGCCGCGUGAGUGAUGAAGGUGUUCGGAUCGUAAAACUCUGUUGUUAGGGAAGAACAAGUACGAGAGUAACUGCUCGUACCUUGACGGUACCUAACCAGAAAGCCACGGCUAACUACGUG
This 494-nucleotide ribosomal RNA is filed under the name uncultured bacterium. RNAcentral describes it as "partial 16S ribosomal RNA". It matches the Rfam family "Bacterial small subunit ribosomal RNA", at positions 28 to 507 of the family's 1533-position model. The record is from RNAcentral.